This 253-nucleotide ribosomal RNA is filed under the name uncultured bacterium. RNAcentral describes it as "partial 16S ribosomal RNA". It matches the Rfam family "Bacterial small subunit ribosomal RNA", at positions 524 to 776 of the family's 1533-position model. The record is from RNAcentral.
UACGGAGGGGGCAAGCGUUGUUCGGAAUUACUGGGCGUAAAGGGCGCGUAGGCGGUUCGUACAGUCAGACGUGAAAUUCCUGGGCUCAACCUGGGGGCUGCGUUUGAUACGUGCGGACUUGAGUGCGGAAGAGGGUCGUGGAAUUCCCAGUGUAGAGGUGAAAUUCGUAGAUAUUGGGAAGAACACCGGUGGCGAAGGCGGCGACCUGGUCCGAUACUGACGCUGAGGCGCGAAAGCGUGGGGAGCAAACAGG